UACGUAGGGUGCAAGCGUUGUCCGGAUUUAUUGGGCGUAAAGAGCUCGUAGGCGGUUUGUCACGUCGAUUGUGAAAUCCUGGAGCUUAACUCCGGGACUGCGUUCGAUACGGGCAGACUCGAGUGUUGUAGGGGAGACUGGAACUCCUGGUGUAGCGGUGAAAUGCGCAGAUAUCAGGAAGAACACCGAUGGCGAAGGCAGGUCUCUGGGCAACUACUGACGCUGAGGAGCGAAAGCGUGGGGAGCAAACAGG
This 253-nucleotide ribosomal RNA is filed under the name uncultured bacterium. RNAcentral describes it as "partial 16S ribosomal RNA". It matches the Rfam family "Bacterial small subunit ribosomal RNA", at positions 524 to 776 of the family's 1533-position model. The record is from RNAcentral.